RNAcentral lists this ribosomal RNA (653 nucleotides) under uncultured bacterium. RNAcentral describes it as "bacterial SSU rRNA". It matches the Rfam family "Bacterial small subunit ribosomal RNA", at positions 202 to 842 of the family's 1533-position model. The record is from RNAcentral.
AAAAGGUGGCUAUGCUACCGCUUUUGGAUGGGCCCGCGGCGCACUAGCUAGUUGGUGGGGUAAAGGCUUACCAAGGCAAUGAUGCGUAGCCGAACUGAGAGGUUGAUCGGCCACAUUGGGACUGAGACACGGCCCAAACUCCUACGGGAGGCAGCAGUAGGGAAUCUUCCACAAUGGGCGAAAGCCUGAUGGAGCAACGCCGCGUGGGUGAAGAAGGUCUUCGGAUCGUAAAACCCUGUUGUUAGAGAAGAAAGUGCGUGAGAGUAACUGUUCACGUUUCGACGGUAUCUAACCAGAAAGCCACGGCUAACUACGUGCCAGCAGCCGCGGUAAUACGUAGGUGGCAAGCGUUAUCCGGAUUUAUUGGGCGUAAAGGGAACGCAGGCGGUCUUUUAAGUCUGAUGUGAAAGCCUUCGGCUUAACCGGAGUAGUGCAUUGGAAACUGGGAGACUUGAGUGCAGAAGAGGAGAGUGGAACUCCAUGUGUAGCGGUGAAAUGCGUAGAUAUAUGGAAGAACACCAGUGGCGAAAGCGGCUCUCUGGUCUGUAACUGACGCUGAGGUUCGAAAGCGUGGGUAGCAAACAGGAUUAGAUACCCUGGUAGUCCACGCCGUAAACGAUGAAUGCUAAGUGUUGGAGGGUUUCCGCCCUUCA